This 403-nucleotide ribosomal RNA is filed under the name uncultured bacterium. Its description in RNAcentral is "partial 16S ribosomal RNA". It matches the Rfam family "Bacterial small subunit ribosomal RNA", at positions 30 to 526 of the family's 1533-position model. The record is from RNAcentral.
AUUGAACGCUGGCGGCAGGCCUAACACAUGCAAGUCGAGCGAGCGGCGGACGGGUGAGUAAUGUAUGGGGACUGCCUGAUAGAGGGGGAUAACUACUGGAAACGGUGGCUAAUAGCGCAAACUAUGGGAUAACCCAUAGGGGAUUAGCUAGCUGGUGAGGUAAUGGCUGACCAAGGCGACGAUGCCUAGCUGGUCUGAGAGGAUGAUCGGCCACACUGGGACUGAGACACGGCCCAGACUCCUACGGAGGCAGCAGUGGUGAAUAUUGCACAAUGGGCGAAAGCCUGAUGCAGCCAUGCCGCGUGUAUGAAGAAGGCCGUAGGGUUGUAAAGUACUUUCAGUCGGGAGGCGUUACCGACAGAAGAAGCACCGGCUAACUCCGUGCCAGCAGCCGCGGUAAUUC